CCCUGGGCAACUCACCACCUCCGGAUCAGGACACAUGAAGUUUUGGAAAUGGCCAGCGCUUUUACUGGUCUCAAACUGAAAGGCCUUCUGGGAAGGCUUAAGAAGACUACCCUGACGGAUAUCAAGGGGAAGGUGGUGUCUGGGUCUGAGUGGGGGAACAUACUAGUGUGGGAUGGGGUACCAUCAAGGUGGAGAUCUGCCAUAAGGGGGGAAGGACGUGCCACGCUGGCACUAUCCAGCAGUUUGCCCUGGACAAGGGGGAGCUCAUGACCAUCGGCACUGACGGAGCCAUUAGGGACAAGAACACCCUGCUGGUCCUGUGUAGGAGUGGUGACGUGGUGGAAGUGCAGUCUCCAGACCCAGAGGCCCAGAACCACGGCACACAGUCCAGUGGAGGCUUCUGAGGGGAGGGCUGCAGUUGCGAACUACCACAUCUCUGGCCUUCCUACAAGACACUUCAUCAAGUCACGCAUCAAGGUCUGGCCCUCACUGUCUGGGAUCAACUGUACUGUAAACACAAACUAGAGAUGUGUUUGUAAAUGUUUAAAUGUCAGCGGUAGGAGGAGAUUGCACGCAGGCAGGCUCUGAAGGAGAAGAGGCAGAGAGAGAGGCGCGGCUGAAUGAAGCCAAAGAGCAGGGCCAUGAGCCCAAUGAUGAGGAGCUGCAGCAGGAAGGCAAGGAGAAGGAAGAGCUGCCCCCUCUCUACACCCCCGACCC
Long non-coding RNA from Coregonus clupeaformis (lake whitefish), 717 nucleotides. RefSeq lists it as uncharacterized. The transcript is spliced from 4 exons. NCBI's taxonomy places the organism in Eukaryota, Metazoa, Chordata, Actinopteri, Salmoniformes, Salmonidae. The record is from RefSeq and is a predicted model, not a curated record.